This 199-nucleotide non-coding RNA is filed under the name Oscillibacter sp. PC13. RNAcentral's name for it is "6S / SsrS RNA". It matches the Rfam family "6S / SsrS RNA". Rfam says of the family: E. coli 6S RNA was the first non coding RNA to be sequenced, but its function was unknown until recently. It consists of 184 nucleotides that fold into an extended hairpin structure with a large single-stranded internal bulge. The 6S RNA specifically associates with RNA polymerase holoenzyme containing the sigma70 specificity factor. The record is from Rfam by way of RNAcentral. Lineage: Bacteria; Bacillati; Bacillota; Clostridia; Eubacteriales; Oscillospiraceae.
UGAUCCCUGCGGGGUUCGUGAUAGGUCUUUUUUAACCCACAUUUCGUUAUAAGGGAUGCCGGAUCAGGGUGUGGCUUGCAGGCCUCCCGGCUGCUGUUUGCGGCUGGAAGUUGGAAGCAGUAAAGCACUCUGGAGGCAACCCACCUGGCCUUGAAGGUGCAGGUUAUAACGAGAUCUACACGGCCACUGCGGGGAUUCU